CCUACGGGUGGCUGCAGUGGGGAAUAUUGGGCAAUGGGCGCAAGCCUGACCCAGCAACGCCGCGUGAAGGAAGAAGGCUUUCGGGUUGUAAACUUCUUUUCUCAGGGACGAAGCAAGUGACGGUACCUGCGGAAUAAGCCACGGCUAACUACGUGCCAGCAGCCGCGGUAAUACGGAGGGGGCAAGCGUUAUCCGGAUUUACUGGGUGUAAGGGGCGUGUAGGCGGGAAAGCAAGUCAGAUGUGAAAACCCUGGGCUCAACCUGUGGCCUGCAUUUGAAACUGUUUGUCUUGAGUACUGGAGAGGCAGACGGAAUUCCUAGUGUAGCGGUGAAAUGCGUAGAUAUUAGGAGGAACACCAGUGGCGAAGGCGGUCUGCUGGACAGCAACUGACGCUGAGGCGCGAAAGCGUGGGGAGCAAACAUGAUUAGAUACCCCUGUAGUC
Molecule: ribosomal RNA, 443 nt
Filed under: uncultured bacterium
Lineage: Bacteria
Description: partial 16S ribosomal RNA
Rfam family: Bacterial small subunit ribosomal RNA
Source: RNAcentral